AUUGAACGCUGGCGGAAUGCUUUACACAUGCAAGUCGAACGAUGAACCUUAGCUUGCUAGGGGGAUUAGUGGCGAACGGGUGAGUAAUAUAUCGGAACGUACCUUGUAAUGGGGGAUAACUAGUCGAAAGAUUAGCUAAUACCGCAUACGCCCUGAGGGGGAAAGUAGGGGAUCUUCGGACCUUACGUUAUAAGAGCGGCCGAUAUCUGAUUAGCUAGUUGGUGGGGUAAUGGCCUACCAAGGCGACGAUCAGUAGCUGGUCUGAGAGGACGACCAGCCACACUGGAACUGAGACACGGUCCAGACUCCUACGGGAGGCAGCAGUGGGGGAAUUUUGGACAAUGGGCGCAAGCCUGAUCCAGCAAUGCCGCGUGCAGGAUGAAGGCCU
RNAcentral lists this ribosomal RNA (388 nucleotides) under uncultured bacterium. RNAcentral's name for it is "bacterial SSU rRNA". It matches the Rfam family "Bacterial small subunit ribosomal RNA", at positions 30 to 417 of the family's 1533-position model. The record is from RNAcentral.